GGGCCCGCACAAGCAGUGGAGCAUGUGGUUUAAUUCGAUGCAACGCGAAGAACCUUACCAGGCCUUGACAUCCUCGGAACUUUUAGAGAUAGAAAGGUGCCUUCGGGAACGCAGUGACAGGUGCUGCAUGGCUGUCGUCAGCUCGUGUUGUGAAAUGUUGGGUUAAGUCCCGUAACGAGCGCAACCCUUGUCCUUAUUUGCCAGCACGUAAUGGUGGGAACUCUAAGGAGACUGCCGGUGACAAACCGGAGGAAGGUGGGGACGACGUCAAGUCAUCAUGGCCCUUACGACCAGGGCUACACACGUGCUACAAUGGGGCGUACAGAGGGUUGCGAAGCCGCGAGGUGGAGCCAAUCUCUUAAAGCUUGUCUCAGUUCGGAUAGGAGUCUGCAACUCGACUCCUUGAAGUUGGAGUC
This 416-nucleotide ribosomal RNA is filed under the name uncultured bacterium. RNAcentral's name for it is "bacterial SSU rRNA". It matches the Rfam family "Bacterial small subunit ribosomal RNA", at positions 917 to 1333 of the family's 1533-position model. The record is from RNAcentral.